Armigeres subalbatus is the source of this 1095-nucleotide long non-coding RNA. RefSeq lists it as uncharacterized. The transcript has 4 exons. Lineage: Eukaryota; Metazoa; Arthropoda; Insecta; Diptera; Culicidae. The record is from RefSeq and is a predicted model, not a curated record.
UGAAAAAAAAAACUAAUUUAAGCACCUAAUUGUGAAUUAUUUGUGAAAAUAUAGUGUAAUUUAUUUGUGCAAUUUGCGAUAUUGGUGAAAAGUGGAACUUUUAUUUGGAAAAUCUAUUCCCUUCGAUGGCCGCGGCCACUUAUUUGCCCCUCUUGAUGGCCAAACAAAAUUUGAGGACUGUUUUUGCUUCUAUAGCAGCUGCACCUGGCUGCUUCCGGAAGAUUAUGUUCUCGACGUUGCCAUCUAAUGCUAGCCCUAAUGCUGCAAACCCAAGGUUAGGUUAGUUCCCCUCACGACCAGGGCUCUGAAGUAUGAUGUUCAAGGGAAUCGCGAUAAGGACGACAGGACGAGUGGGUAUCAUAUGGAAGGAAACUUCUGUAAUGUUCUUUUUUCGAUUCGAUCAGAACUUGUGUCUGGAACCUUCGAAACGGUCGUUACGGUGAAGCAACAUACAAUUUUAUAAGGGAAUGGAGUUUCGUUCGGAAGGAACCACUGCGGAACCACUCCUGAAAAUAAUCCGGCAAAUGCGGUCCGACGAUUCCACUAGGUUGUGUAAUGGAUGUCACUUCUGAAGUCCUAUAAGUCAACGGUGCACCAUGGAAAUUCGUCUAGUUCACCAGAUCAGAGGUUCGUGUUUACGAUUACUCGCCGCCCCUAUCUGAUACUGUUAUUCUAAUUAAUAGCUGCGUAUGGACAUUGAACAUAAUCAAUAAUCAAAGUCAUCGACCGAACAAUACCACCUGUCUGGGAACUUGCCUGAGAAGCAUUAAAUGUGGAACUCUGAAGUGGGACGACAGGACGUAGCUGUGCAUGGUGGUCGCUAACAAUAAAGUCUAAAGGGUCGAGUACAAUGCUGCGUUUUCACCGACUUCAAUUUCAUCGCAUAUAAAUCCAACCACGGUCCGAUCAUCUGCUGAAGAGUACUAUUCUGUUUCAGUUUUAUGAAAGUAAUCAAAUCUGUACGUGCCUAUAUAGCAGGCUUUGAAUCCAAAUGAGAAUGAGAAAAUCUCUCACUUAUCAUGUAAGCGGCUACACUCUCGAUAGGUAGCAUACCGUGAGAGACGUUUAUCGGUAGCUGUUACGAUAAUUAACUGA